UGGAGAGUUUGAUCCUGGCUCAGGACGAACGCUGGCGGCAUGCCUAAUACAUGCAAGUCGAGCGGACUUGAAGAGAAGCUUGCUUCUCUGAUGGUUAGCGGCGGACGGGUGAGUAACACGUAGGCAACCUGCCCUCAAGCUUGGGACAACUACCGGAAACGGUAGCUAAUACCGAAUACUUGUUUUCUUCGCCUGAAGGGAACUGGAAAGACGGAGCAAUCUGUCACUUGGGGAUGGGCCUGCGGCGCAUUAGCUAGUUGGUGAGGUAACGGCUCACCAAGGCGACGAUGCGUAGCCGACCUGAGAGGGUGAUCGGCCACACUGGGACUGAGACACGGCCCAGACUCCUACGGGAGGCAGCAGUAGGGAAUCUUCCGCAAUGGGCGAAAGCCUGACGGAGCAAUGCCGCGUGAGUGAUGAAGGUUUUCGGAUCGUAAAGCUCUGUUGCCAGGGAAGAACGCUUGGGAGAGUAACUGCUCUCAAGGUGACGGUACCUGAGAAGAAAGCCCCGGCUAACUACGUGCCAGCAGCCGCGGUA
RNAcentral lists this ribosomal RNA (538 nucleotides) under Paenibacillaceae bacterium C25. Its description in RNAcentral is "bacterial SSU rRNA". It matches the Rfam family "Bacterial small subunit ribosomal RNA", at positions 1 to 522 of the family's 1533-position model. Lineage: Bacteria; Bacillati; Bacillota; Bacilli; Caryophanales; Paenibacillaceae. RNAcentral also lists the same sequence under 4 other names. The record is from RNAcentral.